Small nuclear RNA from Microtus ochrogaster (prairie vole), 158 nucleotides. Its record names the gene U1. It matches the Rfam family "U1 spliceosomal RNA". Rfam says of the family: U1 is a small nuclear RNA (snRNA) component of the spliceosome (involved in pre-mRNA splicing). Its 5' end forms complementary base pairs with the 5' splice junction, thus defining the 5' donor site of an intron. The record is from Ensembl. NCBI's taxonomy places the organism in Eukaryota, Metazoa, Chordata, Mammalia, Rodentia, Cricetidae.
ACACUAGGACCUGGCAGGGAAGAUGCAUUGCUCAGGAAGGUUUUCCCAGGGUGAGGCUCUUCUAGUACAUGCCGGUUGUGCUGAUCCUGCAGUUCUGCAAAUGCAGCAAACUCAACCACAUUUGUGCUAGUGGGGGCCUGUGUUCCUGCUCUUCCCUG